GUCGACAAAUAUAAGACGUUUUUAAUCUAAAGACAGAGAAAGUGAAAUGGGUCGAAUUUGGCGCUCAAAGUUGUGAGAGUUACAUCAUCGACGGUGUGACGUCAACGUGGGUCAUUUGCAUAGCUAGGUCAGUUGUCCAAUUCAUUGACAAUGUGGCAGAAUAGUGAUGCAUUUACUAAAAUGAGUGCAAAUAAUCGACAUAAUAAGAUUAAAUCGUUAGUGGAUUAAGUAUCUAAUUAUACAGACAUCAUGGAUAAUCUACAGAAUUCGAUAUUUCAUAAGGGACAACCAUGGAACUAAGGAAAACGCGCGUGAAUUUCCCCGAUGUAAUGGGUAGAACGUCCGGGGAUAUGGGUUAGCAACACUCAGUGGCUACGGGUUUUGUAACGACGUGCAUUAACCAAUCAAAAUCCUAGAAAUAUACUAAGCCGGGG
Molecule: long non-coding RNA, 434 nt
Filed under: Mytilus galloprovincialis (Mediterranean mussel)
Lineage: Eukaryota; Metazoa; Mollusca; Bivalvia; Mytilida; Mytilidae
Source: RNAcentral